This 745-nucleotide long non-coding RNA is filed under the name Mus caroli (Ryukyu mouse). RNAcentral describes it as "lncRNA (MGP_CAROLIEiJ_G0004708.1)". Lineage: Eukaryota; Metazoa; Chordata; Mammalia; Rodentia; Muridae. The record is from RNAcentral.
ACUAUAUAAAAGGACAAAAAGAGUUGUGAUGGCAAAAGUAUUAUCAGUUGAGUUUCAGCCAGGGUAAAGGAACACUCUGUACCCGGCCUGAGUCAGUCACUUAGAUAUUAAGGGAAGAAUAGUAGAAGUCUGGGCUCUGGACUGAGUUGCUAGUAGUGACUUUCAGGUUUUCUAAGAUCCAAGAGCUAUACAUUUGCAGCUUCCAGGACACCAAAAAGGACUGGACAGAAAGACAUGGUGCUCACACAGUCAUUGAGUGUCUGCUGGUGCACAACAGAAACCACAAAACUUACAAGACUGAUGGAAGAGAGCCUGGUAGGUGAGUUACAGGAAGCUGCCUUUGCUCAAUCCUGAGCACUGGAGUUACAGAACACUGUGGCCACUAGCUUUGAUAUGGGUGAAGACCUGAGCUCAGACAGUUCUCUGACAAAGAGGCAGAAAAGCAGUGACAAACGACUCUUCUGAAGUGAUGUUCAGCUGGCAAAAUUCCCAGGACUGGUACAGAGAGUGACACGGGCUCAACUAAUCAGAGACAACAAAGUGAGUCCACAGAGUCAUGUGCUUGGCAGACACUUUUCCCAUCCAUAGGCAUAGCUAUAUCUUCAUUCCCAUGGCCACUCACUAACCUCCUCUUGGGAUCACAUCUGAGAUGGCAGUAGCUGCUUGCCAUCAGUUGGCCCUGCCUUACCUCCUCCAGGUUGAUGGUGCAUUGCUGAAAUAUAUUAGCUGUGCACUUUACUACACU